Molecule: unclassified non-coding RNA, 568 nt
Filed under: Melitaea cinxia (Glanville fritillary)
Lineage: Eukaryota; Metazoa; Arthropoda; Insecta; Lepidoptera; Nymphalidae
Description: misc RNA ENSMCXG00005012934.1
Source: RNAcentral
CACGAAAUCUCUGAAACUAUAACAGCUACAAAUUUGAAAAUUGGCAAGUAGGUUCCUUAUAGGGCAUAUACAUUUGCUAAGAACGAAUUUUAUGAAACUCGACCCCUAAGGUGAUAAAACGGGGGUUAGAAGUUUGUAUGAAAGUCCUAUGUUUUUGGAGGAAAAGACUUGAAAUUUAAAAUGUAUGCUCUAUAGAUGGUGAGAAGGUGUUCAAAUAAUGUAUCUUUAGAAAUCAACUCCCUUUUGGGGUUAAAACGGGGGAUGGUAGGUUGACUUACUCAUCACGAAAUCUCUGAAACUAUAACAGCUACAAAUUUGAAAAUUGGCAAGUAGGUUUCUUAUAGGGCAUAUACAUUUGCUAAGAACGAAUUUUAUGAAACUCGACCCCUAAGGUGAUAAAACGGGGGUUAGAAGUUUGUAUGAAAGUCCUAUGCUUUUGAAGUAAGAGACUUGAAAUUUAAAAUGUAUGCUCUAUAGAUGUUGAGAAGGUGUUCAAAUAAUGUAUCUUUAGAAAUCAACUCCCUUUUGGGGUUAAAAUGGGGUAUGGUAGGUUGACUCACUCAUCACG